UUGAAUUAAUAAUAAUUGAUUAAAUUCUUAAUUGUGGUUAUAUUCGAAAAUUCUUUAUUAUUUGAUUAAUUGCGGCUAUAAUUGAAAUAAUCAAUUGUUAGUUAAUUAUGGCCAUAAUUGAAAUAGCCAAUUUCAUGGUUUGAGACACUUACGACUAUAAUUGGAAGUUUAAGUCUUUUUAUACACAUGGCCGUAUUUUAAAUUGAUUAAUUAGUCCUAAUAUGGCCAUAAUUUAAAUGUCUAAUCAAGUGUCACGUUUUUAAUUUCGGCUAUUUAAUAAAUUUGCACAUUUUCCCUUUCCAUAUAGGUGUAUAUAAGGAUACACAAACAUAUACAUCCAUACAUAUGUGUAUAUCAUGUAUACGUGAAAAUUCCCCCAUAUAUACACUUGUAUACAUGAUAUACACGCGUAUAUCAUGUAUACAGACAUAUAUUAGCCCCUCCCCUACCUUUUUUUUUUUUUUUUAAAUUUAGGACCAGGCCCAGUCCAUAACGGACCAGACCCGACCCAAAUUCAUGAAUCUUCAGCAGUUAAACAUACCAAACGGGCCUUGAAGGUCUCAUUUCAUAAAGGGCAUAAGGGUUUGCCCUCAAACCCUAGCCGCCUCUUGGAGAAUUUCUCUCACCUCGUUCAACUUUGCCUGAAAUGGCAAAGUCAAGACUGCCAUUUACCAUGAUAGGCCUUGGCGUGUCAAUUUCGGGCAAAGCAUUAAUUGCUUUGCCCUUUCUCCACCACAUCUCAACCAAACGAGGUAUAGCACUUUCUCUCUCUUUGCUCUUUUUCUACAAAUACGCUCAGUCAAGGACGAAUUCUUUAAUGGAAUUUGUCUUGUUGCUAUUUCGAAUACUCGAUUUUCAUUGGUAGAUGAAGAACCGAACGGAUUGACUCAAUUUGGAGUCAAAUCUGACCCUUUAUCGAUUAUUUUCCUAAAUCCUAGCCGUUGAAUGUUGGGUUGAUAGAACCAUUACCAGAAAUUGUAAAAGUCCCACAUCAGAUUCAAUCAGGGUUUUGAGAUUUUUGGGGGUUCUAUAUAAAGAACCCAAUUUCUCACAUUUACACAGACCUUGACAUCGAAUAUGUCACAUAUUCACACAAAACUCGAUACUAGGGUUUUUAACAAGUGACUGACCGUUGAAUUGGACGCUUGUUUAAAUUUUCUUAGUGUUCGAGCAAAGUUUAAUUUUUUUUCUUUUGUGGCUGAGUUUCGAAUUGAGGAGCAGAGUCUUCAAAUUUCAAUCUCGACAAGGGUUGCACUCGAAAAAGAUUCAAGUGAAAUGGCUAAGAAAGCUUCUACUCCGAUGAGAAAUACAGGCUCUUAUGCUGAGAAUCGUUCAAAAAGAAUUAACGAUCCUAGGCGUUCCAAGGAUUAUGUUGAUUCGAAGAGUAAACAACAAGAAAAAGUGAAAAAGGUUUCUCAAAUGGAGAAACAAAAGAAGAGAAAGACUGGUGACAAUGUUGUUAAUGUUAAAGGCAAAAAAAUUGGUAAAACCAAACAUAAUGUGGAUGAGGAUGAUGA
This is a long non-coding RNA of Lycium barbarum (goji berry), 1517 nucleotides long. RefSeq lists it as uncharacterized. NCBI's taxonomy places the organism in Eukaryota, Viridiplantae, Streptophyta, Magnoliopsida, Solanales, Solanaceae. The transcript has 3 exons. The record is from RefSeq and is a predicted model, not a curated record.